This 549-nucleotide ribosomal RNA is filed under the name Triticum aestivum (bread wheat). RNAcentral describes it as "partial small subunit ribosomal RNA". Lineage: Eukaryota; Viridiplantae; Streptophyta; Magnoliopsida; Poales; Poaceae. The record is from RNAcentral.
AUGAAUACCAAAAAUAAUAAAAUUACAUCCAGAUCCUUAGACCACCUAGCGACAACUACAAGAACGGAAGCAAGCCGAAGACGCCCCGUCAUCAUCGCCCCUCCCUCCCUAGAGCCGGGCAAAAUUGUUGUAGUAGACAGUCGGAAAGUCGUCCUGCUAAGGCCCUAUAGGACCAACGCACUAGAACAGCAAUCGCCGUCGUUGAAGAGAAGCUUAAAUCAUAACGAUCCAACAUGUAGACACACAAACAAAUACCGGAUCCACAUGGAUCCAUCGAAGACAAACGUCGACCGAAUACCACGAGAUCCGCCGAAGACAAACCUCCACACAUCCUCCGAUGACUCUAGAAGCACCACCGGGACAGGGGCUAGGCGGGGAGUAUCUUAUUCCAUCUCCAGAGAGCCAUCGCCGCCUCAUCUUUCUGAGCAGGACAGAAUCCCUAAGAAAACUCAAAAAAAGCAUCUAGAAAUGAAGCCCUCCAACCGGCAAGGGCUAAGAUCGAUUCACCACAUCACCAUGGCCAGGCAGACUAGCGCAUGCGAGAGGUAG